CGAACGCUGGCGGCAGGCUUAACACAUGCAAGUCGAGCGGGCGUAGCAAUACGUCAGCGGCAGACGGGUGAGUAACGCGUGGGAACGUACCUUUUGGUUCGGAACAACACAGGGAAAACUUGUGCUAAUACCGGAUAAGCCCCUACGGGGAAAGAUUUAUCGCCGAAAGAUCGGCCCGCGUCUGAUUAGCUAGUUGGUAGGGUAAUGGCCUACCAAGGCGACGAUCAGUAGCUGGUCUGAGAGGAUGAUCAGCCACAUUGGGACUGAGACACGGCCCAAACUCCUACGGGAGGCAGCAGGUGGGGAAUAUUGGACAAUGGGGGCAACCCUGAUCCAGCCAUGCCGCGUGAGUGAUGAAGGCCCUAGGGUUGUAAAGCUCUUUUGUGCGGGAAGAUAAUGACGGUACCGCAAGAAUAAGCCCCGGCUAACUUCGUG
Molecule: ribosomal RNA, 435 nt
Filed under: uncultured bacterium
Lineage: Bacteria
Description: bacterial SSU rRNA
Rfam family: Bacterial small subunit ribosomal RNA
Source: RNAcentral